This 403-nucleotide ribosomal RNA is filed under the name uncultured bacterium. RNAcentral describes it as "bacterial SSU rRNA". It matches the Rfam family "Bacterial small subunit ribosomal RNA", at positions 356 to 773 of the family's 1533-position model. The record is from RNAcentral.
GGGGAAUAUUGGGCAAUGGGGGAAACCCUGACCCAGCAACGCCGCGUGAAGGACGAAAGCCUUCGGGUUGUAAACUUCUUUGAUCAGGGACGAAACAAAUGACGGUACCUGAGGAACAAGCCACGGCUAACUACGUGCCAGCAGCCGCGGUAAUACGUAGGUGGCAAGCGUUAUCCGGAUUUACUGGGUGUAAAGGGCGUGUAGGCGGUCUUGCAAGCCGGAAGUGAAAUUCCCGGGCUUAACCCGGGCGCUGCUCCCGAAACUGCGAGACUUGAGUACUGGAGAGGAUAGUGGAAUUCCUAGUGUAGCGGUAAAAUGCGUAGAUAUUAGGAGGAACACCAGUGGCGAAGGCGGCUAUCUGGACAGUAACUGACGCUGAGGCGCGAAAGCGUGGGGAGCAAAC